This 253-nucleotide ribosomal RNA is filed under the name uncultured bacterium. RNAcentral's name for it is "partial 16S ribosomal RNA". It matches the Rfam family "Bacterial small subunit ribosomal RNA", at positions 524 to 776 of the family's 1533-position model. The record is from RNAcentral.
UACGUAGGGGGCAAGCGUUGUCCGGAUUUAUUGGGCGUAAAGAGCGUGUAGGCGGUUUGGUAGGUCCGCUGUGAAAACUCGAGGCUCAACCUCGAGACGCCGGUGGAAACCAUCAGACUAGAGUCCGGAAGAGGAGAGUGGAAUUCCCGGUGUAGCGGUGAAAUGCGUAGAGAUCGGGAGGAAUACCGGUGGCGAAAGCGACUCUCUGGACGGCAACUGACGCUGAGGCACGAAAGCGUGGGGAGCAAACAAG